GUUAGGAAUAUUGGACAAUGGGCGCAAGCCUGAUCCAGCCAUGCCGCGUGAGUGAUGAAGGCCUUCGGGUUGUAAAGCUCUUUAGCCGAUGAUUAUAAUGACUGUAGUCGGAAAAUAAGCCCCGGCUAACUUCGUGCCAGCAGCCGCGGUAAUACGAAGGGGGCGAGCGUUAUUCGGAAUCACUGGGCGUAAAGCGUGCGUAGGCGGCUUUGCAAGUUGGGAGUGAAAGCCCAGGGCUCAACCCGUGAAUUGCUCUCAAAACUGCAAGGCUCGAAUUCGGGAGAGGAUAGCGGAAUUGUCAUUGUAGCAGUGAAAGUCGUAGAUAUUGACAGGAACACCAGUGGCGUAAGCGGCUAUCUGGACCGAUAUUGACGCUGAGGCACGAAAGCGUGGGGAUCAAACAGGAUUAGAUACCCUAGUAGUCC
Molecule: ribosomal RNA, 425 nt
Filed under: uncultured bacterium
Lineage: Bacteria
Description: partial 16S ribosomal RNA
Rfam family: Bacterial small subunit ribosomal RNA
Source: RNAcentral